UACGUAGGGGGCGAGCGUUGUCCGGAUUUAUUGGGCGUAAAGAGCUUGUAGGCGGUUGCGGAAGUCGGAUGUGAAAUACCGGGGCUCAACUCCGGGGCGCCAUUCGAUACUCCGCUGACUCGAGUCCGGUAGGGGAAGGUGGAAUUCCUGGUGUAGCGGUGAAAUGCACAGAUAUCAGGAGGAACACCGGUGGCGAAGGCGGCCUUCUGGGCCGGUACUGACGCUGAGGCGCGAAAGCGUGGGGAGCAAACAGG
RNAcentral lists this ribosomal RNA (254 nucleotides) under uncultured bacterium. RNAcentral's name for it is "partial 16S ribosomal RNA". It matches the Rfam family "Bacterial small subunit ribosomal RNA", at positions 524 to 776 of the family's 1533-position model. The record is from RNAcentral.